Molecule: transfer RNA, 82 nt
Filed under: Pseudaminobacter salicylatoxidans
Lineage: Bacteria; Pseudomonadati; Pseudomonadota; Alphaproteobacteria; Hyphomicrobiales; Phyllobacteriaceae
Rfam family: tRNA
About the family: Transfer RNA (tRNA) molecules are approximately 80 nucleotides in length.
Source: Rfam by way of RNAcentral
GCCCCUUUGGCGGAAUUGGUAGACGCGGCGCACUCAAAAUGCGUUUCCGAAAGGAGUGCUGGUUCGAGUCCGGCAAGGGGCA